Molecule: ribosomal RNA, 253 nt
Filed under: uncultured bacterium
Lineage: Bacteria
Description: partial 16S ribosomal RNA
Rfam family: Bacterial small subunit ribosomal RNA
Source: RNAcentral
CACGUAGGGCGCAAGCGUUGUCCGGAAUUAUUGGGCGUAAAGAGCUCGUAGGCGGUCUGUUGCGUCCGCUGUGAAAACUCGGGGCUCAACCUCCAGCCUGCAGUGGGUACGGGCAGACUAGAGUGCGGUAGGGGAGAUUGGAAUUCCUGGUGUAGCGGUGGAAUGCGCAGAUAUCAGGAGGAACACCGAUGGCGAAGGCAGAUCUCUGGGCCGUAACUGACGCUGAGGAGCGAAAGCAUGGGGAGCGAACAGG